Molecule: long non-coding RNA, 526 nt
Organism: Aegilops tauschii subsp. strangulata
Lineage: Eukaryota; Viridiplantae; Streptophyta; Magnoliopsida; Poales; Poaceae
Source: RefSeq, a predicted model, not a curated record
CUUCCUAGAGCCUUAUUUAUUGAUAUCAUGCAUAUCUUUACACAACAUUAAUCACACUAAAUAAUCAGCAUUAAACAGUACAGAAGCUUCAGUUCUAAGAUAACUCAUUCUCCGUCACUAUAUAUAUGCGUGUGAAUCUUCAGACGACUUCAACUAAGCCAACAUAGAAACCAUUUUCUCUGUAAAAGAAUAGUAGCUUGGAAGACUUCAAGUAGCAUCAGACAAACAGAGAGAUGGCAACGACGUUUUCUUCCAUCCUGUGCAAGAUCCUUCUCGUUAUUGUAGCCAUGCUUGCCCUCCUUUGCUCUGCCUAUGCAAGAGACGCAUCAGAAUAUGGGCAGUGUUUUUCCCGGCCUGAAUGCAGCAACUACUGCAAGCAGCAAGCAUACCUCAGGGGAGGGGAGGUCAUGCCGCCCAACUUCAUGGACUGUUGCUGUCUCAUAUGAGCAUCACCGUGUAAUGUGCCAUUUUAUGUCUAAAUAAUAAAAUGCUAUAAUAAAAAUGAAAUUUAUGGAUUGCAUGCAAA